AACACCACAAGGGGGAGACUGUUGGUUGCAGGUGGAAAGAGAGGCCCGGUCAAGAAAGAAAACAGAAGCUGAACACUUAAGACAAUAAAGCUCCAAACUGACAGCGGCAUCACGUGGAGUGGACAUAAAUCUUCCUUUCAGUGACCUGCUAAUUCAUUACUUAUUUAUGGAAAAAGCGGCAGCUGGUUUAUUUGUCGGCUGGGUGAGGUUACUCAUUCAUCUCCACUGGACAGACAGCAAGGCAGGUGUAAUAUUUACCUGUUAUUUUCUAUGUUACUUCCUGCCACCCCUUAAACUAACUAAGUAUUCAUUUAUCACUUAUGUGUUUUCUAUAACUCUUUUCUUGCUCUUUCUCAAAGCUGCACACUUCGGGGGUAUACAUGUUGUCCACAGCUACAUGAUCUACUGGGUAGAUUUCAGAGCAGGCAGUAAUAAUGCUUGGCUGCCAGCACCAUGAAAAUGUUAUCAGAUGGGAGGCAAACAAUGGCUGACAGGAAGCGAUCCAGUGUCCACACAGGUUGGAAGAAAAUAAAUCAGGUUAUGCUGACGUCAGGCGGCUCUGAGGGCUGUGCUGCUGCUUGUUUUUCUGCAAUGAAUAUUCUCGCUGAGUCAUGGCAUGACAGCACAUAUACAUCAUUUCCCGUAGCCAAGCUGCCAAUACUGAACUCUUUGUUUGAUCACCAUGGAGACAGUUAAAUGUGAAAUUAAGUUCUGUCACGCAGUCGAAGCUGGAGGCAGUGUUGGAAGGCAGCGCCGCAGCCAAGGAUAACUGCGUGUGUGUAAUAUUGCAGUAAUGACCUGGACGAGAUGUAAAUCUCUUCUCAAAGUCACAUCAUGGAGGUCCAAAAACCUCGGUCCCACAGGGUCCCACAUUUUAUUUGCUCAAGACUUGUUUUUUGGUUCGUGCAAGGGUUGACUAUUUAAUAGUUUCUGAGGAGACUAGAACUCAGGGAGGAAUAUGCUUCAGUACACAGGUAAUACUUCAAUUCAUGGUUGGUUUCAGUCUUUUUGUUACUAUUUGCUGACAAUAAGAAAAAUAUCAUCAGACGUUAAGGUUGGAUUGAAUCUCAGAGGAGCUGUUGAAAUCAGACUUUCAGCAAUGAGUCUAAAACCAGCCUUAGCAUGUCAAACUCUGCACAGACAUCAUUCUGCACAGCGAAACCCAUUAAAAUCAAAACUCAAAAAUGCAGUUGUAGGAGCGAGAAUAAAAACAUGUUUUUGACUGGAGGUGGAAAUGCUAUGUGCUCUUAAGAGACAGAAAACAAGUGUGCACAUGCGGUCUGCAGCCACUCAGAGAUUUCAAAAUUGCAAGUGGUGAUUCAGUUUGUACAUAUUCAUGUCUCGCUCCUCCAAGUUUGCUCUCUGUGUUAUCAUUCCCACCUCUGUUACAGUUUUAGCCACCUGACUGUAACAGUCACAUCUCAGUUCUGUUCCUCAGAAGUCCAGACCUGAUCCUCUGCAGCUGGAGAUCAGCGGUGUAAAAAUAAAAUGCAGAGAGGUGACAUCAUGCGACGAGGACAAGCGUAAAAUCAUGCACAUAUUCAAAACACAUGGGGGGUGGGGUGAGACAGAGACGGAGACGGUUAAAUGAAGAAACAGAGACUAAAACACUGUGUAUUUUUUUUUUCUAGAAUGUCUGCUUGUACCCACCAUCUGUGUGUGUGUGUUGGCAUGAGCUUAUCGCUGAAGAAUGUGGUGGAAAACUGAGAAACAGGAAGUCUCCAUCGGCCAGAACGAAAAGAAACAGCAAGAGCCUUUUACUCAAUGCAGAAGCCUGCGAUGUUCAAGUACGUUACGAGAAGAAGUCGGCUGCAGAAGAGGCGGAGGUCCAUCGGUGUCUACGCCAACAAAAGACCAGAAUUCGUUCACUACAAAGACCUGUGAGUAUGUGGCUGCCCUCAAAAACAGACCGCAGUGUUCACAAACAACUUGGCUGUGUGUCUAGACAGCUACACAACUGCUGCCGUAGGCUUACAGAAGGGCGUUAGGGAAAUAUUCAAGGAAAAGCAGGAAAUUACUUUGGAAAUUAAAAAUGCACAGAAUAUCACAGACUCUUAAAACUAUGUCAACUUCGCAAAAUUAAAUUCAUAGAAACACUUAAUACUAAAACCAAUUUUAGCCUAUUAUUUAUUUUUGGCUAAAUGAGAGUGGCCAAAUGAAUCAGAAUCACAAUCUUUACAGAAAUGUCUGACGGACACUGAACACAUCCACUCAGAGUCAUGUGUUUGGACACCUGAUGAUUAUCACUUCUGUUCUUUUAGCUCUGUUCUGCCUCUUUAACACUUUAUGUUUUUGUCACCCUGAUUGUCCAUACUUUAAUUGUACUAUGUUGGUCUAUUCUGCACACAGAAGAUCUCUCUUGCCCUCUCACGUUGCUCUUUCUGACGUUUCCUCAGUUUCUGCCCUGUUUUUCCAGAGGAGGGUUCCUUAUCUGAAUUGAGAGUGUUGUAUGCUGUAGAGAUUGUAAAGGCCCUUGAGACAAAUUUCUGAUUUGAGAUAUUAUGCUGCGUAAAAAAAUGUCCUUGACUUUAGCUGCCAGAUGUUCCAUUAUGCCUUUUGCCAGUCAUUUGAUCCAUUGUUCAUAUAAAAGUACUGAUAAGAGCAGCCAUAUGGGUCAAUGUAUCACUCAACUGCAGCAGCGUCACACAGGGAGCGUUCCCACCCCUGAUACCAGUCAUACUAUCUCAAAAAUAAAUACACAUCAGGUUUGGAAACUGAGUAGCAAGUUCAGAUAAACAUUUGUCUCCAUCAGCCUACAGAGAAAGAUAAUUGUUUUAUUUGGCUCCGGUGAGACACAUUCCAGACAUAAUGGAAUAAAGCCGAUACAACAGAUCUUAGCGAAGUUGAAGAAACGCAGCAUGUCCUGCUACAACAGGACAGCCAUGAUCGUUUUACCAGAAGCUGCUGGUUUGCUGCGGCUCGCUUUGUUCGGUUUCUCUCUACUCGCUCCUUCAGUUUCUGCACUCGUCUUCUGUUCUUCAGCAGCAGCAAUGUGGGACCGGUUUCUAUUUCCAUGAUUAUUUUUGCUGUGUGAGUUAGGGAACACUCCCCACGCUGGCACUCUCCACAGUACUGUUGGAGCACUACCGAAGGUCCAACACUAACAGGAGAAUUUAAUGAUAAAAUGUUAUGGGACAUGUAAAUCCUCAGUGCUGUCUUGAGGGGUUGUUUGCUUACAAACUGUUCUAGUCUCCCUUCAGAAAUCUCCAUCCAACAAAAAUCCCUGCAAAUCUCAGUUUCUGACUACUUUUCCAGAUUCUCACCCUCACGAUGACCCCACAAAAAUCCUCACAUGAACUGAACAAUUUCUGAAGAAAUGCCAAACACGGCAAUCUUAGUAUAGAAAUUAUGUAUAUUAUUUAUAUGAACCACAUGGCUGAAUGGACUCACAGAUGGGUCCAACACAGUCAAGUGUCUAUAAGAUGUUGGGCCAACAUGAGUCUCCAGUACAGUGUCAUUAAAACAUUGUAAAACAAAUCUCUGUAACUCUGCUGAACAGAUAAAACAUUCUCGUAAAAUAUAUUCACUUGUUUGGGGGUUUUAUGAUAGUAGUGUCAUAUCUACGAGUCCUAUCUCCAAAACCUCCUACAACAUUGAUCUGUUAGGUUGAAAUGUGGUUACUGUGAAGUCCUCUUUCAAAUUUUCACACAUCUGUUACAUUUUAAGAAAUCGCUUAACAGUUUGGGACAUAUGUAUAUAAUUACAUAUAAUUUGCUUUCUUGCCGAGAUUUAAAUUAAUAGAUAUCCACUCUUGUGCCUGUUCAAUAAACAUGAAGCUGCAGCCUGCAGACUGUUAGCUUAGCUUAACAUACAGACGUGAAACAGCCUGGUUCUUUUUCUGUCCAAAGGUAAGAAAAAAAAAACCUGCCCACAACCACCAAAGCUCAUAUGUCCUGGUUGUUAAAAACCAAAGAAAAAUGUCAAGUUGUGGUUUUACCAGUCGCCUGCUGGUUGCCUAGCAACCUCACAGCCACAACAAGAUUCCAGGAUGUCUCUGCUCCCCACAAAGAAACAGCUUGGUGCAUGAACUCGCUGUAAAACCAAACAUUUCCAUUUAUACACUUUGUUUUUUGGGCAGAUUUAACAAAUGAGGUAUAAUGUGUUAACAAUGUGCUCUUGAGUGGAUUUCUUCAGACUCAGGCUAGCUGUUCCCCCUGCUUCCAGUCUCUAUGCUAAGCUAACUGCCUCCUGGAUGUCGUUUCAGACUUCUCAGGCAGCUGCAAGACAAGUAUUAGUCCUUUCAACUAUUGCAAGUAACAAGCAUGCAACUUCUUCAAAACAAAAUAUAUGUGCUGUCCCUGUUCCUGUAGACGUCCUUGAGGACUUGGAUGUCCAAAGAAUGUAGCUAUCUAGCUUCCUUCCUUUCAUAUAAUACAAAGCAACACAAAAGCUUUUCUUCCUUAUCACUUUCACAACCACUGAUUGAUGCCAACAUAUCACAUCACAUCAUAUCACAGGCACUAAUGGCUGCCGGUCAAAGAUAUCUUACUGCAAAGUUCUUAGUCAGCACCUUCUUCAACUCCCUUUUGUCAGAGCACUUAAAUCCCACUAAAAUCUCCUUUACACUGAGUUUACCUUUGGGUAUCCAUGAAAAGAAAAACGAAUGAGUUGCUGUAUUUCAUUUAUAUUCUGUGCCAUUAAAAUCACAACAGGCAAAACACAACAGGGAGUUACCAUGACAUGAAGUCAGACAUUGCAUAAAGUUUUAUGAGCCUGUGAUGUAUUUUAUGGGAAUGAGCUCAUGAUAAUUUCUUUAACAUGCAGCAGGCACCGGCUUCGAAUCAGACUGCAAACUCUCUAUGGCCCUCUCCUCUGCGUGUGUGUGUCAGUGUGUGUGUGUGUGUGUCAGGCAGGGGAAGGUCAGUCCCACAUAUGGGUCUUGGUCUGCCUACUGUCUGCUCUGUCAGAAAAACUUAACAUACUUUUAUAAGACUAUUGAAAUCAGCAGCAAAAUCACAGCCCUGUGAUGACAUUUUACUCCAGGUGCAACGCUUCCAAAAAUAUUAUCUCACAGUGUCCAAGGUGUUUACUUCUGUAAUCUUACAUGAAAACACUGUGUGUGUGUGUGUGUGUGUGUGUCAGGAAGAAAGAGGUCAGUUGCACAUGUUGAUCCUGAAUUUACUGCAGAAUUACAAUAGAU
Scatophagus argus is the source of this 5140-nucleotide long non-coding RNA. RefSeq lists it as uncharacterized. The transcript is spliced from 3 exons. The record is from RefSeq and is a predicted model, not a curated record. NCBI's taxonomy places the organism in Eukaryota, Metazoa, Chordata, Actinopteri, Scatophagidae.